GUGCUCGCUUCAGCAGCACAUGUAUUAAAUUGGGACGAAACAGCGAAGAUUAGCAUGGCCCAUGUAUAAGGAUGACAUGCACAUUCACGAAGCAUUCCGUACUUUG
Molecule: small nuclear RNA, 106 nt
Filed under: Panthera tigris altaica (Amur tiger)
Lineage: Eukaryota; Metazoa; Chordata; Mammalia; Carnivora; Felidae
Source: RNAcentral